AAGUCGUAACAAGGUUUCCGUAGGUGAACCUGCGGAAGGAUCAUUAUCGAAUAAAUCUGGCGUGGUUGUCGCUGGCUCCUAGGAGCAUGUGCACGCCCGUCACUUUUAUCUUUCCACCUGUGCACUCACUGUAGACCUGGAUAACUCUCGUUUGGUCUCCCAAGCGGAUGCGAGGAUUGCUGUGCCCUUUCAUAGGGUCAGCUUUCCUUGAAUUUCCAGGUUUAUGUCCUCUUUUACAUACCCCAAUGAAUGUUGCAGAAUGUAGUCAAUGGGCUUUCAAUGCCUAUAAAACUUUAUACAACUUUCAGCAACGGAUCUCUUGGCUCUC
RNAcentral lists this unclassified non-coding RNA (328 nucleotides) under fungal sp. Its description in RNAcentral is "partial internal transcribed spacer region". The stretch from base 1 to 46 matches the Rfam family "Eukaryotic small subunit ribosomal RNA", at positions 1786 to 1831 of the family's 1831-position model. The record is from RNAcentral. Lineage: Eukaryota; Fungi.